UUUUAUCGUAUAAAUAUAAAUAAAAUGAAAUGAAUAAAACUGAAUCCAAAUUUUACAGAAACGGAUGAUUUACAAGAACAAUCCCAAAAGAACGAAGAUACACAGCAUAGAUCCAACGCCACAGAACGCUUCUCGGCUCCGAUUCGCAGCCGAUGUCUUAGGGCGGCCAAUUAGCACAGGUCGCAUCCGCAUCCUCCUUUUGAUAUGAACGUUGAACUUCUUCUCUGCAACUUGACGAUGAUCCGCCGUCGUCUGUACGAUGUUCCGGCGAAGCAUUCCGACAAGAGAAGUGGAAGCCCCGCGGUGAACGGCGGCGGAAGUUGGAAGGGAUUCGAAGAACAAGAGAAGAGCGAUAAGAGCAAUGGAAAGUAGGGCUUUAAUCGCUGCCAUUAAUUUUAUUCGAGUAUUGUUUGAGAGAGGGAAGAGAAUCGAAGAAACGAGUAAUUGUAUGCACUUAUAUAGAAAUGCUUGGGACGAUCAAAGACGAGUACCGAAUUUCCGCCGGAAUUGACCAUGGAUCCCGACGGCUAUAGCAGGUCCCCAUAGAUAGGAGUACGAUCGCAAGAAUGAAACUCAAAAGAAUUGACGGGGACCUGCACAAGCAGUGGAGCAUGUAGUUUUAAUUCAAUGCAAAGGGAAGAACCUUACCGGGGCUUGACAUGCCACAAAUCCUCUUGAAAGAGAGGGGUGUCUUCAGGGACACGGACACAGGUGGUGCAUGAUUGUCGUCAGCUCAUGCCGUAAGGUGUUAGGUUAAGUCCCGCAACAAGUGUAACCCUUGUGUUUAGUUGCCAACCGUUAAGAUUGGAACCCUGAGUAGACGGCCGGUAUCUUUACUUAUUCUGUAAGCAUUUUUUUUUUUGGACAACUGGAAUUUGGAGUGGCUGACAGGUUAAUAUUUAAGGUUCUUAUGCCCAUUCAAAAUUC
Cucurbita maxima (winter squash) is the source of this 927-nucleotide long non-coding RNA. RefSeq lists it as uncharacterized. NCBI's taxonomy places the organism in Eukaryota, Viridiplantae, Streptophyta, Magnoliopsida, Cucurbitales, Cucurbitaceae. The record is from RefSeq and is a predicted model, not a curated record. The transcript is spliced from 2 exons.